Molecule: long non-coding RNA, 247 nt
Filed under: Brassica napus (rape)
Lineage: Eukaryota; Viridiplantae; Streptophyta; Magnoliopsida; Brassicales; Brassicaceae
Description: long non-coding RNA (BNAP_LNC020338)
Source: RNAcentral
GUUUUCUGUUUGACUCCAAGUUUUGAGUCAAUUUUGCAAAAAGCCCUAAUAAGUAAUUUAUAUUUGUUAAAAUUAAUGUAGCUUUUUAAGACACCACAGUUAUUACACCCAAUUUGCUAUCCGAUAAUUAUAUUUUCCAUUUUAAUAUGUUAUAGUAUUUAGAUUGAUAGUAUUUAGUAUCAAUUUAUUGUAUUUGACUUUUAUUUCUAACUUUUAUACACUUCAAUCAAAUUAAAUAAUUUAUAUA